UACGUAGGUGGCAAGCGUUGUCCGGAAUUAUUGGGGGUAAAGCGCGCGCAGGCGGUUUCUUAAGUCUGAUGUGAAAGCCCCCGGCUCAACCGGGGAGGGUCAUUGGAAACUGGGAAACUUGAGUGCAGGAGAGAAGAGCGGAAUUCCACGUGUAGCGGUGAAAUGCGUAGAGAUGUGGAGGAACACCAGUGGCGAAGGCGGCUCUUUGGCCUGUAACUGACGCUGAGGCGCGAAAGCGUGGGGAGCAAACAGG
RNAcentral lists this ribosomal RNA (253 nucleotides) under uncultured bacterium. RNAcentral's name for it is "partial 16S ribosomal RNA". It matches the Rfam family "Bacterial small subunit ribosomal RNA", at positions 524 to 776 of the family's 1533-position model. The record is from RNAcentral.